AUUGAACGCUGGCGGCAUGCCUUACACAUGCAAGUCGAACGGCAGCACGGGAGCAAUCCUGGUGGCGAGUGGCGAACGGGUGAGUAAUAUAUCGGAACGUGCCCAGUCGUGGGGAUAACGUAGCGAAAGCUACGCUAAUACCGCAUACGAUCUAUGGAUGAAAGCGGGGGAUCGCAAGACCUCGCGCGAUUGGAGCGGCCGAUAUCAGAUUAGGUAGUUGGUGAGGUAAAGGCUCACCAAGCCGACGAUCUGUAGCUGGUCUGAGAGGACGACCAGCCACACUGGGACUGAGACUACGGCCCAGACUCCUACGGGAGGCAGCAGUGGGAAUUUUGGACAAUGGGCGCAAGCCUGAUCCAGCAAUGCCGCGUGCUAGGAUGAAGGCCUUC
This 389-nucleotide ribosomal RNA is filed under the name uncultured bacterium. RNAcentral describes it as "bacterial SSU rRNA". It matches the Rfam family "Bacterial small subunit ribosomal RNA", at positions 30 to 419 of the family's 1533-position model. The record is from RNAcentral.